UUAAGCGACUAAGCGUACACGGUGGAUGCCCUGGCAGUCAGAGGCGAUGAAGGACGUGCUAAUCUGCGAUAAGCGUCGGUAAGGUGAUAUGAACCGUUAUAACCGGCGAUUUCCGAAUGGGGAAACCCAGUGUGAUUCGUCACACUAUCAUUAACUGAAUCCAUAGGUUAAUGAGGCGAACCGGGGGAACUGAAACAUCUAAGUACCCCGAGGAAAAGAAAUCAACCGAGAUUCCCCCAGUAGCGGCGAGCGAACGGGGAGCAGCCCAGAGCCUGAAUCAGUGUGUGUGUUAGUGGAAGCGUCUGGAAAGGCGUGCGAUACAGGGUGACAGCCCCGUACACAAAAAUGCACAUACUGUGAGCUCGAUGAGUAGGGCGGGACACGUGGUAUCCUGUCUGAAUAUGGGGGGACCAUCCUCCAAGGCUAAAUACUCCUGACUGACCGAUAGUGAACCAGUACCGUGAGGGAAAGGCGAAAAGAACCCCGGCGAGGGGAGUGAAAAAGAACCUGAAACCGUGUACGUACAAGCAGUGGGAGCACGCUUAGGCGUGUGACUGCGUACCUUUUGUAUAAUGGGUCAGCGACUUAUAUUCUGUAGCAAGGUUAACCGAAUAGGGGAGCCGAAGGGAAACCGAGUCUUAACUGGGCGUUAAGUUGCAGGGUAUAGACCCGAAACCCGGUGAUCUAGCCAUGGGCAGGUUGAAGGUUGGGUAACACUAACUGGAGGACCGAACCGACUAAUGUUGAAAAAUUAGCGGAUGACUUGUGGCUGGGGGUGAAAGGCCAAUCAAACCGGGAGAUAGCUGGUUCUCCCCGAAAGCUAUUUAGGUAGCGCCUCGUGAAUUCAUCUCCGGGGGUAGAGCACUGUUUCGGCAAGGGGGUCAUCCCGACUUACCAACCCGAUGCAAACUGCGAAUACCGGAGAAUGUUAUUACGGGAGACACACGGCGGGUGCUAACGUCCGUCGUGAAGAGGGAAACAACCCAGACCGCCAGCUAAGGUCCCAAAGUCAUGGUUAAGUGGGAAACGAUGUGGGAAGGCCCAGACAGCCAGGAUGUUGGCUUAGAAGCAGACAUCAUUUAAAGAAAGCGUAAUAGCUCACUGGUCGAGUCGGCCUGCGCGGAAGAUGUAACGGGGCUAAACCAUGCACCGAAGCUGCGGCAGCGACGCUUAUGCGUUGUUGGGUAGGGGAGCGUUCUGUAAGCCUGUGAAGGUGUGCUGUGAGGUAUGCUGGAGGUAUCAGAAGUGCGAAUGCUGACAUAAGUAACGAUAAAGCGGGUGAAAAGCCCGCUCGCCGGAAGACCAAGGGUUCCUGUCCAACGUUAAUCGGGGCAGGGUGAGUCGACCCCUAAGGCGAGGCCGAAAGGCGUAGUCGAUGGGAAACAGGUUAAUAUUCCUGUACUUGGUGUUACUGCGAAGGGGGGACGGAGAAGGCUAUGUUGGCCGGGCGACGGUUGUCCCGGUUUAAGCGUGUAGGCUGGUUUUCCAGGCAAAUCCGGAAAAUCAAGGCCGAGGCGUGAUGACGAGGCACUACGGUGCUGAAGCAACAAAUGCCCUGCUUCCAGGAAAAGCCUCUAAGCAUCAGGUAACAUCAAAUCGUACCCCAAACCGACACAGGUGGUCAGGUAGAGAAUACCAAGGCGCUUGAGAGAACUCGGGUGAAGGAACUAGGCAAAAUGGUGCCGUAACUUCGGGAGAAGGCACGCUGAUACGUAGGUGAAGCGACUUGCUCGUGGAGCUGAAAUCAGUCGAAGAUACCAGCUGGCUGCAACUGUUUAUUAAAAACACAGCACUGUGCAAACACGAAAGUGGACGUAUACGGUGUGACGCCUGCCCGGUGCCGGAAGGUUAAUUGAUGGGGUUAGCGCAAGCGAAGCUCUUGAUCGAAGCCCCGGUAAACGGCGGCCGUAACUAUAACGGUCCUAAGGUAGCGAAAUUCCUUGUCGGGUAAGUUCCGACCUGCACGAAUGGCGUAAUGAUGGCCAGGCUGUCUCCACCCGAGACUCAGUGAAAUUGAACUCGCUGUGAAGAUGCAGUGUACCCGCGGCAAGACGGAAAGACCCCGUGAACCUUUACUAUAGCUUGACACUGAACAUUGAGCCUUGAUGUGUAGGAUAGGUGGGAGGCUUUGAAGUGUGGACGCCAGUCUGCAUGGAGCCGACCUUGAAAUACCACCCUUUAAUGUUUGAUGUUCUAACGUGGACCCGUGAUCCGGGUUGCGGACAGUGUCUGGUGGGUAGUUUGACUGGGGCGGUCUCCUCCUAAAGAGUAACGGAGGAGCACGAAGGUUGGCUAAUCCUGGUCGGACAUCAGGAGGUUAGUGCAAUGGCAUAAGCCAGCUUGACUGCGAGCGUGACGGCGCGAGCAGGUGUGAAAGCAGGUCAUAGUGAUCCGGUGGUUCUGAAUGGAAGGGCCAUCGCUCAACGGAUAAAAGGUACUCCGGGGAUAACAGGCUGAUACCGCCCAAGAGUUCAUAUCGACGGCGGUGUUUGGCACCUCGAUGUCGGCUCAUCACAUCCUGGGGCUGAAGUAGGUCCCAAGGGUAUGGCUGUUCGCCAUUUAAAGUGGUACGCGAGCUGGGUUUAGAACGUCGUGAGACAGUUCGGUCCCUAUCUGCCGUGGGCGCUGGAGAACUGAGGGGGGCUGCUCCUAGUACGAGAGGACCGGAGUGGACGCAUCACUGGUGUUCGGGUUGUCAUGCCAAUGGCACUGCCCGGUAGCUAAAUGCGGAAGAGAUAAGUGCUGAAAGCAUCUAAGCACGAAACUUGCCCCGAGAUGAGUUCUCCCUGACCCUUUAAGGGUCCUGAAGGAACGUUGAAGACGACGACGUUGAUAGGCCGGGUGUGUAAGCGCAGCGAUGCGUUGAGCUAACCGGUACUAAUGAACCGUGAGGCUUAACCUU
This 2902-nucleotide ribosomal RNA is filed under the name Shigella flexneri K-218. RNAcentral describes it as "bacterial LSU rRNA". It matches the Rfam family "Bacterial large subunit ribosomal RNA". Lineage: Bacteria; Pseudomonadati; Pseudomonadota; Gammaproteobacteria; Enterobacterales; Enterobacteriaceae. The record is from RNAcentral.